RNAcentral lists this ribosomal RNA (117 nucleotides) under Acidaminococcaceae bacterium. The record is from RNAcentral. Lineage: Bacteria; Bacillati; Bacillota; Negativicutes; Acidaminococcales; Acidaminococcaceae.
UCCGGUGACGAUGGCUGAGAGGCACCACCUGUUCCCAUCCCGAACACAGCAGUUAAGCUCUCACGCGUCGAAAGUACUUGGCUGGAAGCGGCCCGGGAGGAUAGAUUGUUGCCGGUU